RNAcentral lists this ribosomal RNA (1448 nucleotides) under uncultured bacterium. RNAcentral's name for it is "bacterial SSU rRNA". It matches the Rfam family "Bacterial small subunit ribosomal RNA". The record is from RNAcentral.
GAGUUUGAUCCUGGCUCAGGAUGAACGCUGGCGGCGUGCUUAACACAUGCAAGUCGAACGAACCUUCGGGUUAGUGGCGGACGGGUGAGUAACGCGUGGGAAUCUGCCCUCAGGAGGGGGAUAACGGCUGGAAACGGCCGCUAAUACCCCAUAUGCCGAGAGGUGAAAUGAAUUUCGCCUGAGGAUGAGCCCGCGUCUGAUUAGCUAGUUGGUGAGGUAAGAGCUCACCAAGGCAUCGAUCAGUAGCUGGUCUGAGAGGAUGAUCAGCCACACUGGGACUGAGACACGGCCCAGACUCCUACGGGAGGCAGCAGUGGGGAAUUUUCCGCAAUGGGCGAAAGCCUGACGGAGCAACGCCGCGUGAGGGAUGAAGGCCUCUGGGCUGUAAACCUCUUUUCUCAAGGAAGAAGAUCUGACGGUACUUGAGGAAUAAGCCACGGCUAAUUCCGUGCCAGCAGCCGCGGUAAUACGGGAGUGGCAAGCGUUAUCCGGAAUUAUUGGGCGUAAAGCGUCCGCAGGCGGCCCUUUCAAGUCUGCUGUUAAAAAGUGGAGCUUAACUCCAUCAUGGCAGUGGAAACUGUUGGGCUUGAGUGUGGUAGGGGCAAAGGGAAUUCCCGGUGUAGCGGUGAAAUGCGUAGAUAUCGGGAAGAACACCAGUGGCGAAGGCGCCCUGCUGGGCCAUAACUGACGCUCAUGGACGAAAGCCAGGGGAGCGAAAGGGAUUAGAUACCCCUGUAGUCCUGGCCGUAAACGAUGAACACUAGGUGUCGGGGGAAUCGACCCCCUCGGUGUCGUAGCCAACGCGUUAAGUGUUCCGCCUGGGGAGUACGCACGCAAGUGUGAAACUCAAAGGAAUUGACGGGGGCCCGCACAAGCGGUGGAGUAUGUGGUUUAAUUCGAUGCAACGCGAAGAACCUUACCAGGGUUUGACAUCCUGCGAACCUCUUGGAAACGAGAGGGUGCCUUCGGGAACGCAGUGACAGGUGGUGCAUGGCUGUCGUCAGCUCGUGUCGUGAGAUGUUGAGUUAAGUCCCGCAACGAGCGCAACCCACGUCUUUAGUUGCCAGCAUUUAGUUGGGCACUCUAGAGAGACCGCCGGUGAUAAACCGGAGGAAGGUGUGGAUGACGUCAAGUCAUCAUGCCCCUUACAUCCUGGGCUACACACGUACUACAAUGCUACGGACAAAGAGCAGCAAGUUCGCGAGGACAAGCAAAUCUCAUAAACCGUGGCUCAGUUCAGAUCGUAGGCUGCAACUCGCCUACGUGAAGGAGGAAUCGCUAGUAAUCGCAGGUCAGCAUACUGCGGUGAAUACGUUCCCGGGCCUUGUACACACCGCCCGUCACACCAUGGAAGUUGGCCACGCCCGAAGCCGUUACUCCAACCCUCGGGAGGAGGACGUCGAAGGUGGGGCUGAUGACUGGGGUGAAGUCGUAACAAGGUAGCCGUA